ACUGUGUUAGACUAUAUACCUCUCUCUUGGAUUCAGGUUCAUAAAGGAACUGUGUUAGACUAUAUACAUCCCUCUUGGAUUCAGGUUCAUCCCUCUUGGAUUCAGGUUCGUGAAGGAACUGUGUUAGAUUAUAUACAUCCCUCUUGGAUUCAGGUUCGUGAAGGAACUGUGUUAGAGUAUAUACAUCUCUCUUGGAUUCAGGUUCGUGAAGGAACUGUGUUAGACUAUAUACAUCUCUCUUGGAUUCAGGUUCGUGAAGGAACUGUGUUAGACUAUAUACAUCCCUCCUGGAUUCAGGUUCGUGAAGGAACUGUGUUAGACUAUAUACAUCCCUCCUGGAUUCAGGUUCGUGAAGGAACUGUGUUAGACUGUAUACAUCUCUCUUGGAUUCAGGUUCGUGAAGGA
RNAcentral lists this long non-coding RNA (405 nucleotides) under Homo sapiens (human). RNAcentral describes it as "HSALNT0003181". Lineage: Eukaryota; Metazoa; Chordata; Mammalia; Primates; Hominidae. The record is from RNAcentral.